This 497-nucleotide ribosomal RNA is filed under the name uncultured bacterium. RNAcentral describes it as "partial 16S ribosomal RNA". It matches the Rfam family "Bacterial small subunit ribosomal RNA", at positions 28 to 507 of the family's 1533-position model. The record is from RNAcentral.
GAUGAACGCUGGCGGCGUGCCUAAUACAUGCAAGUCGAGCGAACGGACGAGAAGCUUGCUUCUCUGAUGUUAGCGGCGGACGGGUGAGUAACACGUGGAUAACCUACCUAUAAGACUGGGAUAACUUCGGGAAACCGGAGCUAAUACCGGAUGAUAUUUUGAACCGCAUGGUUCAAAAGUGAAAGACGGUCUUGCUGUCACUUAUAGAUGGAUCCGCGCUGCAUUAGCUAGUUGGUAAGGUAACGGCUUACCAAGGCAACGAUGCAUAGCCGACCUGAGAGGGUGAUCGUCCACACUGGAACUGAGACACGGUCCAGACUCCUACGGGAGGCAGCAGUAGGGAAUCUUCCGCAAUGGGCGAAAGCCUGACGGAGCAACGCCGCGUGAGUGAUGAAGGUCUUCGGAUCGUAAAACUCUGUUAUUAGGGAAGAACAUAUGUGUAAGUAACUGUGCACAUCUUGACGGUACCUAAUCAGAAAGCCACGGCUAACUACGUG